Molecule: non-coding RNA, 72 nt
Organism: Phrynosoma platyrhinos (Desert horned lizard)
Lineage: Eukaryota; Metazoa; Chordata; Lepidosauria; Squamata; Phrynosomatidae
Source: the annotation of a GenBank genome assembly
GUCAGUAUGGUGUAGUGGUUUGAGUGUUGGACUACAAUUCAGGAGGCUAUGGUUCAAUUCCCUACUCAGCUA